CAGAGCCCAGGACAGCGAGACUAUCCCGACAGCUUCUCCUCAGGGCCCAGUUAGAACUCCAGGUCGCUAAAUCUCAACCCAUGCACUCUCUAAUACCGUGCCAGACGCCGGGCCUUCCCCACCACCUCAUCUGCCUGGGCACGUAAAGGGCUCGGUGCGGCAGCUGCAGCUUUGCCUGUCUGUUAAAGGCCAGAGUGUCCCAUCUCUGAAAUGACGGAGGGAACAGAGCUCAAGCUUGAAUAACUGAGCCCAGCCCGGCGGUCCCUGAGAUUCGCCAGAGAAUAAGCCUGAUGGGAUGUCUGGAGAUAACGGGACACCCAACCAGCAGAUGUGAAACCUGAAAUUAGUGAUUCACCAAAGGAAAUGAUGAACUAUGAUCCAAGGUCUGUCUAACCUAUACUUGUCUCCACAUGAUAGGGCAGUAUUUCAUUUCUCCCAAUAGUGAUAUUCAGCCUCUUUAAAGCCUCUUUUAGCAAAAUAUUAUAAUAAACUCUUCUCUAAUAAAC
This is a long non-coding RNA of Callithrix jacchus (white-tufted-ear marmoset), 506 nucleotides long. RefSeq lists it as uncharacterized. Lineage: Eukaryota; Metazoa; Chordata; Mammalia; Primates; Cebidae. The record is from RefSeq and is a predicted model, not a curated record.